GGUCCGAACCCACGAGCGUUGAAAAGCUCGGGGAUGACUUGUGGGUAGCGGUGAAAUUCCAAUCGAGCCCGGAGAUAGCUGGUUCUCCCCGAAAUAGCUUUAGGGCUAGCCUCAAAGUGAGAGAUACGGAGGUAGAGCACUGAAUGUCCUAGGGGGUAUUACACCUACCGAAGACUAACACACUACGAAUUCCGUCAUCCUAUACUUUUCCGUCAGACUGUGGGUUAUACGAUUCAUACUCGCAACAGCAACAGCCCAGCUCUUCAGCUAAGUUCCCUAAAUGUAAGUUAAGUGGUAAAGGAUGUGGGAUUGCACAGACAACCAGGAUGUUGGCUUAGAAGCAGCCACUCAUUCAAAGAGUGCGUAAUAGCUCACUGGUCGAGUGAUCCUGCGCCGAAGAUUUCCGGGGCUAAAACUUACUACCGAAGCUACGGCAUCAGUAAUGAUGGGUAGGGGAGCUUCCCAUACGGGUUGAAGCAUGACCGUAAGGACAUGUGGACAGUAUGGGAGUGAGAAUGUUGGCAUGAGUAGCGAGAUGUGGGUGAGAAUCCCACAGGCCGUAAACCCAAGGUUUCCAGGGGAAGGUUCGUCCGCCCUGGGUUAGUCGGGACCUAAGCUGAGGCCGAAAGGCGUAGGGGAUGGACAACAGGUUGAUAUUCCUGUACUACCGAUAACCGUUUGAGAGAAGGGAUGACACAGUAGGAUAAGCUAAGCACACUGUUGGUUAUGUGUGCCCAAGCAUUGAGGCAGUCAAAGUAGGCAAAUCCGCUUUGAUAAUGCUGGGAUGUGAUGGGGAGCGAAAUUUAGUAGCGAA
Molecule: ribosomal RNA, 814 nt
Filed under: Clostridioides difficile
Lineage: Bacteria; Bacillati; Bacillota; Clostridia; Peptostreptococcales; Peptostreptococcaceae
Description: bacterial LSU rRNA
Rfam family: Bacterial large subunit ribosomal RNA
Source: RNAcentral